Molecule: non-coding RNA, 73 nt
Organism: Ameiurus melas (black bullhead)
Lineage: Eukaryota; Metazoa; Chordata; Actinopteri; Siluriformes; Ictaluridae
Source: the annotation of a GenBank genome assembly
UGCAUGGUGGCUUAGUGGUUAUAACACUUGCUUCUCAACUCCGGGGUUGGGGGUUUGAAUCCCGCCUCCGCCA